GGCUUCACUUACACAUGCUCACCUGCUCAGAUCUUCACACUGGUUGGCCUCCCCUGCCUCUUUACACAGUAAUCUUACAUUUGCCACUUGCAGGGAACAUGCCUGAAAGUACAGCUUGCAUGGAGUCAGGACCUGGGUCCCGAUCUAUGCUCGAACAGAGGAGACUUCUGAUGCCAAAUGUGUGGAAAAUUUCCAAAGACGCAUUUCCAUUUUAAAGAGAUCUGAAAACAUUAUCUGAAUCAGCUCCCCCUUCAAAAAUUCUAUUCCUGCGGGGAAAAAGGUAAUUAUAUGCAUUUAGAUAUGGAUGGCUUUUGCACAAAAAAAAUUUUUUUUUAGUUCACAUUGCCUAAUCAGAAGGAAUUAUUUCUUAAUCAUGAAGUAAUAGCCUUAAUACUCUUAGAUUCAA
This 406-nucleotide long non-coding RNA is filed under the name Vulpes vulpes (red fox). RNAcentral's name for it is "lncRNA (ENSVVUG00000028784.1)". The record is from RNAcentral. Lineage: Eukaryota; Metazoa; Chordata; Mammalia; Carnivora; Canidae.